AGCUACAGGCUUAACACAUGCAAGUCCACUGGCAGCAUCAUCAAAGCUUGCUUUGAUGGAUGGCGACCGGCGCACGGGUGAGUAACACGUAUCCAACCUGCCGACAACACUGGGAUAGCCUUUCGAAAGAAAGAUUAAUACCGGAUGGUAUAGUUUUCCCGCAUGGGAUAAUUAUUAAAGAAUUUCGGUUGUCGAUGGGGAUGCGUUCCAUUAGGCAGUUGGCGGGGUAACGGCCCACCAAACCUACGAUGGAUAGGGGUUCUGAGAGGAAGGUCCCCCACAUUGGAACUGAGACACGGUCCAAACUCCUACGGGAGGCAGCAGUGAGGAAUAUUGGUCAAUGGACGAGAGUCUGAACCAGCCAAGUAGCGUGAAGGAUGACUGCCCUAUGGGUUGUAAACUUCUUUUAUACGGGAAUAAAGUUAGCCACGUGUGGUUUUUUUGUAUGUACCGUAUGAAUAAGGAUCGGCUAACUCCGUGCCAGCAGCCGCGGUAAUACGGAGGAUCCGAGCGUUAUCCGGAUUUAUUGGGUUUAAAGGGAGCGUAGGCGGGUUGUUAAGUCAGUUGUGAAAGUUUGCGGCUCAACCGUAAAAUUGCAGUUGAUACUGGCGACCUUGAGUGCAACAGAGGUAGGCGGAAUUCGUGGUGUAGCGGUGAAAUGCUUAGAUAUCACGAAGAACUCCGAUUGCGAAGGCAGCUUACUGGAUUGUAACUGACGCUGAUGCUCGAAAGUGUGGGUAUCAAACAGGAUUAGAUACCCUGGUAGUCCACACAGUAAACGAUGAAUACUCGCUGUUGGCGAUAUACAGUCAGCGGCCAAGCGAAAGCAUUAAGUAUUCCACCUGGGGAGUACGCCGGCAACGGUGAAACUCAAAGGAAUUGACGGGGGCCCGCACAAGCGGAGGAACAUGUGGUUUAAUUCGAUGAUACGCGAGGAACCUUACCCGGGCUUAAAUUGCAACUGACGGAACCGGAAACGGUUCUUUCUUCGGACAGUUGUGAAGGUGCUGCAUGGUUGUCGUCAGCUCGUGCCGUGAGGUGUCGGCUUAAGUGCCAUAACGAGCGCAACCCUUACGGGUAGUUACCAUCAGGUUAUGCUGGGGACUCUACCCGGACUGCCGUCGUAAGAUGUGAGGAAGGUGGGGAUGACGUCAAAUCAGCACGGCCCUUACGUCCGGGGCUACACACGUGUUACAAUGGGGGGUACAGAAGGCAGCUACACGGCGACGUGGUGCUAAUCCCAAAAGCCUCUCUCAGUUCGGAUUGGAGUCUGCAACCCGACUCCAUGAAGCUGGAUUCGCUAGUAAUCGCGCAUCAGCCACGGCGCGGUGAAUACGUUCCCGGGCCUUGUACACACCGCCCGUCAAGCCAUGAAAGCCGGGGGUACCAAAAGUACGUAACCGCGAGGAGCGUCCUAGGGUAAAACUC
RNAcentral lists this ribosomal RNA (1428 nucleotides) under uncultured organism. Its description in RNAcentral is "SSU rRNA". It matches the Rfam family "Bacterial small subunit ribosomal RNA". The record is from RNAcentral.